GGCCCGGAAGCGCUCACACGUGUACUCACUCCCCUGCUCCUGGCCCCUUGGCCGGCCGGGCUGUUUCUGGCCGUGGGUCGCUCCCGCCGGACAGGUGCGCACCGAGCGCACUCUCUAGCCCGGCAGAUGAAGGUGAAGCGGCGGCGGCCGGACCUGGAUGAGAUUCACCGCGAGCUGCGGCCUCUGGGACCCGCAUGGCCCCAGCCUGACCCAGACGCCGAGCCCGACCUCGACCUGCCAGGGGGCGGCCUGCACCGCUGUCUGGCCUGCGUGAGGUACUUCAUCGAUUCCGCCAAUCUGAAGACCCACUUCCGAUCCAAAGACCACAAGAAAAGGCGGAAGCAGCUGAGCGUCAAGCCCUACAGUCAGGAAGAGGCGGAGAGGGCAGCGGGUAUGGGAUCCUAUGUGCCUCCCAGGCGGCUAGCAGUGCCCACAGAAGUGUCCACUGAGGUCCCUGAGAUGGACACCUCUACUUGACAUGGCCUGAAGAUGCAAGGCAGAGGAGUUGCCCAUGGACAGUGACGCAAGGACUAGGCUGGGAGGGAGCGUGCCAACCCCUUUUGGCUCUGGGUUUGGGGAACGGAGGGCCUCUUCUGGGUGCCCUGCCCCCAAUAAAGGAACUGGACAAAGAGAAAAAAAAAA
Macaca mulatta (Rhesus monkey) is the source of this 642-nucleotide RNA transcript. It is a transcript of the gene named zinc finger protein 593 pseudogene, with no coding region annotated. The record is from RefSeq and is a predicted model, not a curated record. Lineage: Eukaryota; Metazoa; Chordata; Mammalia; Primates; Cercopithecidae.